This 645-nucleotide long non-coding RNA is filed under the name Spirodela polyrhiza (greater duckweed). RNAcentral describes it as "long non-coding RNA (SPOL_LNC001685)". The record is from RNAcentral. Lineage: Eukaryota; Viridiplantae; Streptophyta; Magnoliopsida; Alismatales; Araceae.
GGGGGGGGACAGCACCCUAUACAUCAUGGUUUAUAUUCAAAUUCCAAAGAACCGAUAUGGGACAAUUCAUUACAUGUGAGGAGGGGGGAGGGGGAGAAAUAAUAGAGAGGAGGGAGGGGGGAAGAAAACGUCUUGGAGAAAACCAAUGGAAGAACACGACGGCGACGGCGGCGUCAUAAAUACAUAUUUUCUUCACAGGGACCCGGACGAGCAGGAAAGACCCAAAAUACACAGAGAGGAGAGAGAAAGAAUGGCAAAUCGAGGGACACGGGGAUACUUGUACAGGCCUUGGGGCGAUCAUGCCGCUCCCUCGGUCGGCUUCGCCGGCUCUGGGGCCGCCGGCGGAGCGGCGGCGGUCUUCUCCUCGACGACCGGAGGAGCCUCAGGAGGCGCAGGGGUCUCGGUUUCUACCUUCUUCUCCUCUUCCGUAGACACCACCACCUCCUUAUCCUUGCUGGUGCCCUCCUCCGCCGGCGCUGCGGGCGCUUCUUCUGUGGUGGCGGCGACCUCUGGCUCCGCCGCCUUGGGCUCCUCCGCCGGGAGGAAGACGGCAGCCUUCUCGAACACGAAGAAGACGGGGCCGGUGACGAGGGCAGGCCCGAACUUGGUGGAAGCCUCACUGACAGCCUUGGCCCCGGGGAACUC